AUCCUAGUGCUAUGUUGAUGGUGGGAAGAAAUUGAUAAUGAGCUCGUUCUUGGAUUGGAGAGUUUUCUUGAAUCCGAAUGCCAGCAAGGCUAUUUGAAAAGAAUAAAAGAAUAAUUAGAUUUGCUUGUGGAUUUCCUUUUUUCUUUUUGUUUGAUUAUUAUUUUAUUUAACCCUUUGAAUUUAUGAAAGUUGAAGGCAAAGCCUGACUAAUGUCUUUCUCUGUCAUUCACAGCAAAGCAGUAGGAAACAAUGUCACGUGUAUUGGAUAAAGAAUAACUGCAGCAGCCCUUAAAUGCUCGUGUCAAACUGGUGCCUUCUUCCCCCAGAACCAACCACAGCUCUUGCUGAAGCAGUCAGGCUGAGCUGUGUUUUUACAGUCCCUAAGCAAAGCUGAAGCUGCACAAAAGGGAUUUAGCUGAGCGUAAGCUGCUGCCCAUGAAACACCUCAUUUUUUCUUCAACAGCUUUCCAGCCCUGAGCAGCACUGGAUCAAACUGCAGUGUUGAUUUUCCUGAGCAGCAGCAGCAGCCCCAGCAGCCAUCCCUUCUCUGAGCCUGAAGGUCUGUGUUUCCUGAAUCAACACAUCCAGCACUUAGCUUUUCUUCCUGCUGUUACUCAGAUCACAGCCCUGAUCACAUUGUGGACUACACACAUCACUUAUGCUGCUGGGAGGCAAAGAACACAGAUAUGGGAGACGGUGGCUAGAAAGAAGAGAGAAUCAUCUAGAAGACCAAGGCAAUGUGGUUUAUUUGUGAUGUGCUGUUGCUUCACUCCAUUUAGUAAAGAUUUCAGCAGAGUUGGACAAUAUGUGUAAUACAGUACUGUAUCAGUAUGUAUUGGGAUGUCUCAAAAUAUAGCAUGAUAUAUGGAAUACAAACCAGAGAGCACUGGUUUGUUUGGUUGUUUCAGAAUAUGAAAGGAGCUCCAGUGUCAGCUGUGUAUUUGCAAGUGGUCAAUCUUCCCGGCAUUCAGAAGAGCUCUAGAGGAUCUCAGCUUUAAAAAGCAGCAGAAAAUGAACACACUCAUCAAUCAUUACAGAGUUUAUGACUGUGCAGGUAACACAGCAAGCUAAAUGGUUAUUUGCCUGCCUGCAAGUGCAGUGAACAUAAUUUUAACCCUGGU
RNAcentral lists this long non-coding RNA (1121 nucleotides) under Coturnix japonica (Japanese quail). RNAcentral's name for it is "lncRNA (ENSCJPG00005010879.1)". Lineage: Eukaryota; Metazoa; Chordata; Aves; Galliformes; Phasianidae. The record is from RNAcentral.